UACAGAGGUCCCAAGCGUUGUUCGGAUUCACUGGGCGUAAAGGGUGCGUAGGUGGCUUGGUAAGUUCGAUGUGAAAUCUCCGGGCUUAACCCGGAAAUGGCAUUGAAUACUAUUGAGCUGGAGGUUUGGAGGGGGGACUGGAAUUCUCGGUGUAGCAGUGAAAUGCGUAGAUAUCGAGAGGAACACCAGUGGCGAAGGCGAGUCCCUGGACAAUACCUGACACUGAGGCACGAAAGCUAGGGGAGCAAACAGG
Molecule: ribosomal RNA, 253 nt
Filed under: uncultured bacterium
Lineage: Bacteria
Description: partial 16S ribosomal RNA
Rfam family: Bacterial small subunit ribosomal RNA
Source: RNAcentral